UUUUUAAGUACAAGAUGCCCAACUCUAGCUUUUCCCAUACUAUUGAUUGGCGAACAGAACCAUCCAACAAGAGCGCCUACUUGCGGCGAGAAGUCGAACUAUUUCAACAAGGAAAAUCGAAGUAGCAUUGGUUUUUCACUUCAUCGUAAACGUCAUUCGAGAAAGUGGCGGUUCGUUGAUUGUUGCAGUCCAUAUCUACCAAUCUCGAAACCUCACCAUUCAAUAGAACAAAAUUCGUAUCGGAAUGUGAUCGAACCCAAACUGUACUGAUCCGCGAAUGGACGCCCUUGAAAUUGACCGGCCGGAGAGAAAUAGCAACACAACUGGAACAGGAUGACACAUCGACAAAUAGAAAGGACGGAAGCGCAUUGAAAUGGUAUUUAGUCACGAAUUGGUGAAGCAGCCAGUUCUUUCCAACUCUGACGAGCUGAAUUCGACUUGAAACUCGACCACUGAGGAGGAGACCCAACGCAGCAGGAAAAGGCGAUGCCAAUGUUUCCGUUUACAAUUCGGAUCAUGCUGCCAACUAAAAUCAGUACCUACACUAAAAUCAAAUGAGUACACCCUCUCUUGACUAGGCUUUCCCUCAGAAGAGCAAUAAACAACACGACCGAAGGAAUAAGAGAUCGACAACCCACCGGAUCAUGAAGAUGUGCUGUGCGUUCUCGACUAGGCCUCACAUUGCUUCAAUAAUCAUUAUGUAAAUGUAUUUUGGUUUGCGCGAAAUAAAAUGCAGAACGGAA
Long non-coding RNA from Aedes albopictus (Asian tiger mosquito), 743 nucleotides. RefSeq lists it as uncharacterized. The transcript has 2 exons. NCBI's taxonomy places the organism in Eukaryota, Metazoa, Arthropoda, Insecta, Diptera, Culicidae. The record is from RefSeq and is a predicted model, not a curated record.